This 1665-nucleotide long non-coding RNA is filed under the name Gossypium barbadense (sea-island cotton). RNAcentral's name for it is "long non-coding RNA (GBAR_LNC019664)". Lineage: Eukaryota; Viridiplantae; Streptophyta; Magnoliopsida; Malvales; Malvaceae. The record is from RNAcentral.
UUGUAAACAUGCUGCAGCACGUAUGCUUGCUGUAACAGCAAGGUUGUUUAGUUACUUUGUUAAGCUACUUAGUUGAAAUUGAACUAGGUCGGUAUUGUUUUGAUGUUUUUAGGUGCUGAUUGACAUAAUCAGCUUGUGUGCAAGUUAAGUUUUACUUGUUUCAAAGUAUGAUUAGUGGUAGUAGGUAGUAUUUGGUGAUGUAUUUGGCUAUAAAUGUAUUGUUUUUUCUAGUUGAAUGAAUGAGCAAAAUGAGCAAUCGGCCAUAAGCUCCCUUGCUGCACAUUUGUGAGCAAGUAAAAAUAUUUCUUACAUCUUGCUUGAUUGUUCUGUGCUCUCUGUUUUCUUCCUUUGCUCCUCCUCAUCCCCAACAAAUGGUAUCAUGAGCCCAAGUCUUUGAGGGCUUGUUUUUGCUUCUGCUGCUUGUUAAGAAAGACAAGAAGCUGUUAAAGCCUGUCAUCUUUGAGGACUGCUUGUAAAAAAGACAGCAACAUCUCACCCCUGUGAGACUCCCAAACAAGCUUGGGAUAAGCUGAGGAGGAGUUGAUGGAGUAUGUGCAUGAAGACACUCUACAGCAGGAGGGAGUAUGUGCAAGAAGAAACAGGACAGUAAUGAACAAAGAAACAAGGCAAGAUGUGUUUGAAGGGCAAGUUGUCAACCAAGGCUGUGAAGGAGGAGAAGACUCCAUUUGAUGAACAAAUCUUUGGCACAAAAGACUGGAAUAGUCAAGCGUGUAAGUCAGAUUUGGUUGAGAAUGAAGCCAAGGUUGAAAAUGAAUUGCUUGAGCAGAGUCAGCUUGAAACAAAGCAUCUAAGGACUGCCAAGUUCAAAAAACUUGAUGAAUGAUUGGUAUUUGCGGCAUGGAGUCCAAGGAAGAGUGUUGAAAAUUGGCCAACCAUGCUGCUGUUAUAUUUUUGGUUAAGUGCAUGCAGCUUGUAAACAUGCUGCAGCACGUAUGCUUGCUGUAACAGCAAGGUUGUUUAAUUACUUUGUUAAGCUACUUAGUUGAAAAUGAACUAAGUUGGUAUUGUUUUGAUAUUUUUAGGUGCUGAUUGACAUAAUCAGCUUGUGUGCAAGUUAAGUUUACUAGUUUCAAAGUAUGAUUAGUGGUAGAAGGUAGUAUUUGGUGAUGUAUUUGGCUAUAAAUGUAUUGUUUUUUCUAGUUGAAUGAAUGAGCAAAAUGAGCUAUCAGCCAUAAGCUCCCUUGCUGCACAUUUGUGAGCAAGUAAAAAUAUUUCUUGCAUCUUGCUUCAUUGUUCUGUGUUCUCUGUUUUCUUCCUUUGCUCCUCCUCAUCCCCAACAGUUAAUCUACUGCAAAUUCCACCCCUGGAUAUAUUCCCUUCUUUUCAAAUUUCUGGAAGUGUUGUAUGACACAUUGCUUUUGUAUACUUUUCUGUGCAGGUGUUAGUAGACACAAAUUAUUUACCGUGGAACCGGAAAAGCCUUUCAGUGUGAUUCGCCUGUGAUAUCAAACCAUAAUCCAGUAAAUCAUUUAGGCUAUUCCCUUUCUGAAUUAUUUACAAACAAGCUUGUUAUACAUGCUAAUAGAUCAACGAAAGGAAUAUUUUCAGGACAAUGCUAUAUGUUGUGACAAAUGAAUGCAAAGUAGAUAACUUUCUCUUUGAAUAGCUUCCUGUACAUUGAAUACAAUAACGUUAAAAAACCCC